GGGGAAUAUUGCACAAUGGGGGGAACCCUGAUGCAGCAAUGCCGCGUGGGUGAAGAAGCACUCCGGUGCGUAAAGCCCUGUCAGCAGGGAAGAAAUGACAGUACCUGGGACAAGAAAGCCCCGGCUAACUAC
RNAcentral lists this ribosomal RNA (132 nucleotides) under uncultured bacterium. RNAcentral describes it as "partial 16S ribosomal RNA". It matches the Rfam family "Bacterial small subunit ribosomal RNA", at positions 356 to 504 of the family's 1533-position model. The record is from RNAcentral.